This 250-nucleotide unclassified non-coding RNA is filed under the name Hevea brasiliensis (rubber tree). The record is from RNAcentral. Lineage: Eukaryota; Viridiplantae; Streptophyta; Magnoliopsida; Malpighiales; Euphorbiaceae.
ACGGUAAGCGCGAGGCGCUCCGGAGCUGCGCAUGGCCGACGUCCCGUUGAUCAAGACGCUAGUCGUUAUCCUUGCCUCCGCCGGCUGCAUCAGCUUGGUUGCGCGCGCGCGGCUUCCCGCGGCUGGGGGGNNNNNGGUUACCUAUUGGCUGGCUUGAUCAUCGGCCCGCAUGGGCUAAACCUCAUCGUUACGAGCGAUGAAACGAGAUUCCUGGCGGAACUCGGCAUCAUUUUUCUCAUGUUCAUGGUCG